This 501-nucleotide ribosomal RNA is filed under the name uncultured Glomeromycotina. RNAcentral's name for it is "partial small subunit ribosomal RNA". It matches the Rfam family "Eukaryotic small subunit ribosomal RNA", at positions 591 to 1092 of the family's 1831-position model. The record is from RNAcentral. Lineage: Eukaryota; Fungi; Glomeromycota.
CCAAUAGCGUAUAUUAAAGUUGUUGCCGUUAAAAAGCUCGUAGUUGAAUUUCGGGAUCAAUGUUUCGGUCAUGCCGUUGGUAUGUACUGAUAUUAUUGAUUUCUCACCUUCUAAAGAACCGUAAUGCCAUUAAUUUGGUGUCACGGGGAAUUAGGACUGUUACCUUGAAAAAAUUAGAGUGUUUAAAGCAGGCUCACGCUUGAAUACAUUAGCAUGGAAUAAUGAAAUAGGACAUCCGAUUCUAUUUUGUUGGUUUCUAGGAUCGAUGUAAUGAUUAAUAGGGAUAGUUGGGGGCAUUAGUAUUCAAUUGUCAGAGGUGAAAUUCUUGGAUUUAUUGAAGACUAACUACUGCGAAAGCAUUUGCCAAGGAUGUUUUCAUUAAUCAAGAACGAAAGUUAGGGGAUCGAAGACGAUCAGAUACCGUCGUAGUCUUAACCAUAAACUAUGCCGACUAGGGAUCGGAUGAUGUUAAUUUUUUAAUGACUCAUUCGGCGCCUUACG